Molecule: ribosomal RNA, 254 nt
Filed under: uncultured bacterium
Lineage: Bacteria
Description: partial 16S ribosomal RNA
Rfam family: Bacterial small subunit ribosomal RNA
Source: RNAcentral
GACGAACCGUGCGAACGUUAUUCGGAAUCACUGGGCUUAAAGCGCGUGUAGGCGGGUCGGCGCGUCGGCCGCUGAAAUCCCCCGGCUCAACCGGGGAAGGGGCGCCGAUACGGCCGGCCUGGAGGGACGUAGGGGGGGCUGGAACUUCCGGUGGAGCGGUGAAAUGCGUUGAGAUCGGAAGGAACGCCCGUGGCGAAAGCGAGCCCCUGGACGUCUACUGACGCUGAGACGCGAAAGCCAGGGGAGCGAACGGG